UUUAAAGAGAGUUUGAUCCUGGCUCAGGACGAACGCUGGCGGCGUGCCUAAUACAUGCAAGUCGAACGAACGGAGGAAGAGCUUGCUCUUCCAAAGUUAGUGGCGGACGGGUGAGUAACACGUGGGCAACCUGCCUGUAAGUUGGGGAUAACUCCGGGAAACCGGGGCUAAUACCGAAUGAUAAAGUGUGGCGCAUGCCACGCUUUUGAAAGAUGGUUUCGGCUAUCGCUUACAGAUGGGCCCGCGGUGCAUUAGCUA
RNAcentral lists this ribosomal RNA (258 nucleotides) under Listeria monocytogenes. RNAcentral's name for it is "partial 16S ribosomal RNA". It matches the Rfam family "Bacterial small subunit ribosomal RNA", at positions 1 to 247 of the family's 1533-position model. The record is from RNAcentral. Lineage: Bacteria; Bacillati; Bacillota; Bacilli; Caryophanales; Listeriaceae.